AGCCCCUGGCUGCUAUCUGUAAAGCCCCAACACAAACUUUUCAUCCCACUCCUUCAGAAAACAUACAUCCACAAGUGAGAGCUGGUCAAAUUUGGAGUUCCCAACAUUCAACUCAUCAUGACUAAAUACAUUUGACAACCUAGAUUCAUAGCUGUCCAAAAAUAGUAAUCAUUUCUCUAUUAUAGAUCUAGAAAAUUCUUAACCUAUAUCUCAUCAGAGCAAGUCCAAGCAAGAACUCAGUUAGUUAUCUCCUAUCAUGCACUUCCACUCCAAGUUGCAUCUAAGUUAGAACAACAACGCUCACAAACGAAAAUAUGGAUGGAGAAUGGUAUCCAUUAUGCCAAGACCAGGUAAAGCUGCAAAUUGAUCUGGACUCUGAAGCAAAAUAUCAAAUUCUCAAAUUCAUCUUUAUAGUUUUCAUUUGAAACACAAGACACACUUCAUCUAAAAGUUCAAGGAUUAGAAGAUGACACAUUGAUUUCUGUAAUGAUUUUAACUUUGCAAGCCAACUCUCUUAAAAUGCUAACUAGUAUUUUAAGUACUUUUUUAUUAGGAUUAUUGAUUUCCACCAUUAAGAACUAGUCCUUUACGUAUUACAAACAGGAAGCUCAAAUCUCCUAGUUCAUAACUCUUGUAGUAAAUCCGAAACUAACUCAGACAACGAAAUUGGUUAUAUCUUACCAACCCAACAAAAUAUCGACUAUUGACCGGACAUAAAUGGUUACCUCUAUACUUAUACGAGCAUCACGUGCUUUU
Long non-coding RNA from Lycium ferocissimum, 756 nucleotides. RefSeq lists it as uncharacterized. The record is from RefSeq and is a predicted model, not a curated record. NCBI's taxonomy places the organism in Eukaryota, Viridiplantae, Streptophyta, Magnoliopsida, Solanales, Solanaceae. The transcript has 3 exons.